RNAcentral lists this ribosomal RNA (306 nucleotides) under Triticum aestivum (bread wheat). RNAcentral describes it as "partial small subunit ribosomal RNA". The record is from RNAcentral. Lineage: Eukaryota; Viridiplantae; Streptophyta; Magnoliopsida; Poales; Poaceae.
AUGGUAGUUACACCAUGGCAGCUUUCUUACUUAGAUGGCAUUUUCUUUAUGGACGGGGUUGGCAAAUAUUGGAGGGGUGAGGUGGUAGUUUUAGUGUGGGCAACACGACAUUUUCUGGACAUGGCAAUUUUUGUUUUGGUUCAUAAGCAAAUUCAUGUUUGUUUUAGUGUCACCACUACUACUUUUGCCAUGCCACCUUAUUUUACCAUGGAAAAUUUGCUAAGCUUUUUGCCAUUGCAAAAAAGUUUAGCACUGUUUGUGCAAUGCCAAUUUGUUUUUCAGUUAUUUGCCAUGUCUCUAUUAUAG